Non-coding RNA from Picea glauca (white spruce), 119 nucleotides. NCBI's taxonomy places the organism in Eukaryota, Viridiplantae, Streptophyta, Pinopsida, Pinales, Pinaceae. The record is from Rfam.
GGGUGCGAUCAUACCAGCGUUAAUGCAUCAGAUCCCAUCAGAACUCCGCAGUUAAGCACACUUGGGCCAGAGUAGUACUCGGAUGGGUGACCUCUCGGGAAGCCCUAGUGUUGCACCCU